CCUACGGGAGGCAGCAGUGAGGAAUAUUGGUCAAUGGGCGGAAGCCGGAACAAGCCAAGUCGCGUGGGGGAAUAAGGCCCUACGGGUCGUAAACCUCUUUGGCCGGGGAGCAAGGGCCGGGACGCGUCCCGGCCCGGAGAGUACCCGGAGAAAAAGCAUCGGCUAACUCCGGGCCAGCAGCCGCGGUAAUACGGAGGAUGCGAUCGUUAUCCGGAUUUAUUGGGUUGAAGGGGUGCGUAGGCGGGCUUUUAAGUCAGCGGUAAAAAUUCGGGGCUCAACCCCGUCCGGCCGUUGAAACUGGGGGCCUUGAGUGGGCGAGAAGAAGGCGGAAUGCGUGGUGUAGCGGUGAAAUGCAUAGAUAUCACGCAGAACCCCGAUUGCGAAGGCAGCCUUCCGGCGCCCUACUGACGUUGAGGCUCGAAAGCGUGGGGAGCAAACAGGAUUAGAUACCCGUGUAGUC
RNAcentral lists this ribosomal RNA (460 nucleotides) under uncultured bacterium. RNAcentral's name for it is "partial 16S ribosomal RNA". It matches the Rfam family "Bacterial small subunit ribosomal RNA", at positions 338 to 795 of the family's 1533-position model. The record is from RNAcentral.